RNAcentral lists this ribosomal RNA (508 nucleotides) under uncultured bacterium. RNAcentral's name for it is "bacterial SSU rRNA". It matches the Rfam family "Bacterial small subunit ribosomal RNA", at positions 8 to 518 of the family's 1533-position model. The record is from RNAcentral.
AGGGUUCGAUUCUGGCUCAGGAUGAACGCUGGCGGCGUGCUUAACACAUGCAAGUCGAACGAAGCACUUUAACAGAUUCUCGGACUGACGUUUUUGUGACUAGUGGCGGACGGGUGAGUAACGCGUGGGUAACCUACCCUGUACAGGGGGGAUAACAGUUAGAAAUGACUGCUAAUACCGCAUAAGCGCACAGUAUCGCAUGAUACAGUGUGAAAAACUUUUGUGGUACAGGAUGGACCCGCGUCUGAUUAGCUAGUUGGUGAGGUAACGGCCCACCAAGGCAACGAUCAGUAGCCGACUUGAGAGAGUGAUCGGCCACAUUGGGACUGAGACACGGCCCAAACUCCUACGGGAGGCAGCAGUGGGGAAUAUUGCACAAUGGGGGAAACCCUGAUGCAGCGACGCCGCGUGAAGGAUGAAGUAUUUCGGUAUGUAAACUUCUAUCAGCAAGGAAGAAAAUGACGGUACUUGACUAAGAAGCCCCGGCUAAAUACGUGCCAGCCGCCGC